This 538-nucleotide ribosomal RNA is filed under the name Alternaria alternata. RNAcentral describes it as "eukaryotic LSU rRNA". The stretch from base 198 to 351 matches the Rfam family "5.8S ribosomal RNA". Lineage: Eukaryota; Fungi; Ascomycota; Dothideomycetes; Pleosporales; Pleosporaceae. The record is from RNAcentral.
UACUCCGGUAGUCACCUGCGGAGGGAUCAUUACACAAAUAUGAAGGCGGGCUGGAACCUCUCGGGGUUACAGCCUUGCUGAAUUAUUCACCCUUGUCUUUUGCGUACUUCUUGUUUCCUUGGUGGGUUCGCCCACCACUAGGACAAACAUAAACCUUUUGUAAUUGCAAUCAGCGUCAGUAACAAAUUAAUAAUUACAACUUUCAACAACGGAUCUCUUGGUUCUGGCAUCGAUGAAGAACGCAGCGAAAUGCGAUAAGUAGUGUGAAUUGCAGAAUUCAGUGAAUCAUCGAAUCUUUGAACGCACAUUGCGCCCUUUGGUAUUCCAAAGGGCAUGCCUGUUCGAGCGUCAUUUGUACCCUCAAGCUUUGCUUGGUGUUGGGCGUCUUGUCUCUAGCUUUGCUGGAGACUCGCCUUAAAGUAAUUGGCAGCCGGCCUACUGGUUUCGGAGCGCAGCACAAGUCGCACUCUCUAUCAGCAAAGGUCUAGCAUCCAUUAAGCCUUUUUUUCAACUUUGACCUCGGAUCAGUAGAUCCAUC